GUGGAUUAGAUACCCUGGUAGUCCACGCUGUAAACGAUGUCGAUUUGGAGGUUGUGCCCUUGAGGCGUGGCUUCCGGAGCUAACGCGUUAAAUCGACCGCCUGGGGAGUACGGCCGCAAGGUUAAAACUCAAAUGAAUUGACGGGGGCCCGCACAAGCGGUGGAGCAUGUGGUUUAAUUCGAUGCAACGCGAAGAACCUUACCUACUCUUGACAUCCAGAGAAUUUGGCAGAGAUGCCUUAGUGCCGUCGGGAACUCUGAGACAGGUGCUGCAUGGCUGUCGUCAACU
This 288-nucleotide ribosomal RNA is filed under the name uncultured bacterium. RNAcentral describes it as "partial 16S ribosomal RNA". It matches the Rfam family "Bacterial small subunit ribosomal RNA", at positions 773 to 1060 of the family's 1533-position model. The record is from RNAcentral.